UGUGACGUUACCAAACUGUUGCCUCGGCGGGAUCUCUGCCCCGGGUGCGUCGCAGCCCCGGACCAAGGCGCCCGCCGGAGGACCAACCAAAACUCUUUAUGUAUACCCCCUCGCGGGUUUUUUACAAUCUGAGCCAUCUCGGCGCCCCUCGUGGGCGUUUCGAAAAUGAAUCAAAACUUUCAACAACGGAUCUCUUGGUUCUGGCAUCGAUGAAGAACGCAGCGAAAUGCGAUAAGUAAUGUGAAUUGCAGAAUUCAGUGAAUCAUCGAAUCUUUGAACGCACAUUGCGCCCGCCAGUAUUCUGGCGGGCAUGCCUGUCCGAGCGUCAUUUCAACCCUCGAACCCCUCCGGGGGGUCGGCGUUGGGGAUCGGCCCUUUACGGGGCCGGCCCCGAAAUACAGUGGCGGUCUCGCCGCAGCCUCUCCUGCGCAGUAGUUUGCACACUCGCAUCGGGAGCGCGGCGCGUCCAUUGCCGUAAAACACCCAACUUUCUGAAAUGUUGACCUCGGAUCAGGUAGGAAUACCCGCUGAACUUAAGCAUAUCAAUAA
RNAcentral lists this ribosomal RNA (549 nucleotides) under Trichoderma sp. CJL-2014. RNAcentral's name for it is "eukaryotic LSU rRNA". The stretch from base 175 to 328 matches the Rfam family "5.8S ribosomal RNA". Lineage: Eukaryota; Fungi; Ascomycota; Sordariomycetes; Hypocreales; Hypocreaceae. The record is from RNAcentral.